Molecule: ribosomal RNA, 372 nt
Filed under: uncultured organism
Description: bacterial SSU rRNA
Rfam family: Bacterial small subunit ribosomal RNA
Source: RNAcentral
CGUAGGGGGCAAGCGUUGUCCGGAAUCAUUGGGCGUAAAGCGCGUGUAGGCGGCCAGGUAAGUCCGUUCUGAAAGCCCGGGGCUCAACCCCGGGAGGCGGAUGGAUACUGCUUGGCUCGAGUCCGGAAGAGGCGAGUGGAAUUCCCGGUGUAGCGGUGAAAUGCGCAGAUAUCGGGAGGAACACCAAUGGCGAAGGCAGCUCGCUGGGACGGUACUGACGCUGAGACGCGAAAGCGUGGGGAGCAAACAGGAUUAGAUACCCUGGUAGUCCACGCUGUAAACGAUGGUCACUAGGUGUGGGGGGUGUCGACUCCCUCCGUGCCGAAGCUAACGCAUUAAGUGACCCGCCUGGGGAGUACGGCCGCAAGGCUA